CCGAUGUUACGACGGCUUUACAUGAAAUUUGAAUCAUAAAGCUGUCAGUAACGUGGAC
This 58-nucleotide microRNA precursor is filed under the name Tribolium castaneum (red flour beetle). RNAcentral describes it as "Tca-Mir-3893_pre stem-loop". The record is from RNAcentral. Lineage: Eukaryota; Metazoa; Arthropoda; Insecta; Coleoptera; Tenebrionidae.